This 464-nucleotide ribosomal RNA is filed under the name uncultured bacterium. Its description in RNAcentral is "partial 16S ribosomal RNA". It matches the Rfam family "Bacterial small subunit ribosomal RNA", at positions 28 to 507 of the family's 1533-position model. The record is from RNAcentral.
GACGAACGCUGGCGGCGUGCUUAACACAUGCAAGUCGAACGGAAAGGCCCUGCUUGCAGGGUACUCGAGUGGCGAACGGGUGAGUAACACGUGGGUGAUCUGCCCUGCACUUCGGGAUAAGCCUGGGAAACUGGGUCUAAUACCGGAUAGGAGCCAUUUUUAGUGUGAUGGUUGGAAAGUUUUUUCGGUGUAGGAUGAGCUCGCGGCCUAUCAGCUUGUUGGUGGGGUAAUGGCCUACCAAGGCGGCGACGGGUAGCCGGCCUGAGAGGGUGGACGGCCACAUUGGGACUGAGAUACGGCCCAGACUCCUACGGGAGGCAGCAGUGGGGAAUAUUGCACAAUGGGCGCAAGCCUGAUGCAGCGACGCCGCGUGGGGGAUGACGGCCUUCGGGUUGUAAACUCCUUUCGCUAGGGACGAAGCUUUUGUGACGGUACCUAGAUAAGAAGCACCGGCUAACUACGUG